Molecule: long non-coding RNA, 1924 nt
Organism: Passer domesticus (house sparrow)
Lineage: Eukaryota; Metazoa; Chordata; Aves; Passeriformes; Passeridae
Exons: 5
Source: RefSeq, a predicted model, not a curated record
GCCUGGCUCAGAGGCAAGACCUUGAUUCAAAUCAGCAUGUUUUGCAGAGGCUUUUAAGUUAGCUCAGCAAUCCAAAUAACUCCCCGUGGAGCAAUUCAGGACAAUAUUUUCCCCAAACUCUGCAGCUAAACUAGCCUUUUUGACCUUGUCCAAAACCCAUAGGCUGCAGCUUCUCAAUUAAGUCAGUCUGGCAUCACUAUCAAAUACUGUGCACCUAACGUACAUUUAGCUGCCUGACAUCUUGAACCUCUUUAGAGGUUUUCCAGGCUCUAAUGGAAGGUUUUGUGUCACCAGAACAGAACUGAGUUUUGACUGCUUAAAGAACUGGAUUUGUUUCCUUUCAAGAGUGCUCUUUGAGUGGUCUUGUUAAAAUAAGAUGAAUGGUCAUAUCACUGACCAUGUUUGUUCUGAGACCUAUUUAAUCUGAUUUUAGUCUUUUCUGAAAAGUCUUUUCUUAUGGCCUUUUCUAAAAGUAUUUUACUCAGCCAAGGAGGAAUACAUAUCUCAGAUAUCAAAAAUGUAGUAAUGCCUUCUAGUUAAUCUCUUUCUUCAGUACUCAGCUAAGUCAUUAUCAUUGCUUUAAAGCUGCUUGAAAAAAGAAUAUUUUCCUCAAAAAUAUGUUUGGAAGGUUUUUCCUGAGAUUUUGAAGUAUUCUUCAGAUGACUUUUGUUCAGGAAUCGUCUGAAGUUGGUAUCUAACCAGCUGGUCCAUUUGACAUUUUGGCCCAUUGUAUAAGCUGAUUUGGGGACAGUAAUCACAAAUCUCCAGGAACAGUAUUUUGUAGAUUAGUAGCAUCUUAUCAAACAUGUUUCCUAGGCCCUGGAUUAGUUAUCUGGCAGGGAGCUAAGGAUUUCAGUCCCAGUUUCCAGGUUUGUAAUGACUUGGAUGACAUGAAUGCUGGUGUAUAUGGAUGCAUGGAGGUUGCUAUAUACACUGUAACAAUUAGGAGAAGAAGGCCUGUAGUGGUGUGAUGAUAAGAGCUAGUCUCCCUGAGGUAUUCCUCUUGCUUUGGCGAGAAUAAGAACUGGGUGGUGAGCUGGAACAGGAUAAAAUUAUACUUCACAUCUGAGAAGAUUCUACUGUUAACACUUACCCCACAACAAAGUUCCUGGCAAGGAGCAGACAAGAAAUGUACAUCAAUUCCUUCAGGCACUGCCAGGCUGAGAAUGAAACAUGCUUCUGUAUCAUCAGGAACUGCCCAAUCAUACAGAAUGCAGGAAUUAAAAGGCACGAUUAAAUCUGUGAAAUGUUAUCAAAGGAAGCUAAAAAGAAAGAUUGGACAAUGCUUCAGGAACCAAAUAUAAAAGAUGACAGUAAUGAGUUACAGGAAGUGGACGUAAGUUUUGCGAAGGAGAACCAAUCAUUUGUGGUGGCUGUGACUAUGUGACAUGAAUAUCUUGACACAUCUUUAGAAGAGGCCAUGAUGGAAAAAAUGAAGAAAUACCAACAUCUUCACAAACUCAUUCAGGAACUAACAAAUGUGUGUUCAGAAUCUCCAGAUGGGUCUUCAAGUCAGUAAGGUUAAGGGAGAAGUUAAAACAACAAAGAAAAGGAAUGGUGUUAGAACUGGUACCCUUUUAUGCUAGUACCUGAAAGAACCAAAGAACCAAGAAGUACUAGAGCCUGUGCUGAGGAGAACCCUUUGUCAGACACAAGGAGCAGAAGGAGAGCUUGUGGACAUGGAGGGUGACUGGGCCUUCCAUGGUAACGGACUGCUCCAAAUCCACUAAGACCUUUCCAGGACACUGACAGAAAUAAUGCAGCAUCAGUUGGCAUGACGGAAGAAAGAGUACAUUCAAGAAUUCAGUUAAUCAUUCCAUGAAAAUGUCAACACGGGAGAUGACAGAUAGGACAAAAACACCUAUUGGUCUUUCAACUUUGCUUGAUUGACUAGUUACCUGCAGCUUUGAAUAUGGACUAGAAU